AGUCUCAUGAUGUAAUGGUCAGCACACUGGACUCUGAAUCCAGAAGUCCCACUUCGAGUCUGGGUGAGACUG
RNAcentral lists this transfer RNA (72 nucleotides) under Strigamia maritima. It matches the Rfam family "tRNA". From Rfam's summary of the family: Transfer RNA (tRNA) molecules are approximately 80 nucleotides in length. Their secondary structure includes four short double-helical elements and three loops (D, anti-codon, and T loops). The record is from Rfam by way of RNAcentral. Lineage: Eukaryota; Metazoa; Arthropoda; Chilopoda; Geophilomorpha; Linotaeniidae.